GCCCUCGUGGCGCAACUGGAUAGCGCUCCGGUCUUCUAAAUCGGUGGUUGCUGGUUCGAGUCCAGCCGGGGGCG
RNAcentral lists this transfer RNA (74 nucleotides) under Tepidisphaera sp. Its description in RNAcentral is "tRNA-Arg". It matches the Rfam family "tRNA". Rfam says of the family: Transfer RNA (tRNA) molecules are approximately 80 nucleotides in length. Their secondary structure includes four short double-helical elements and three loops (D, anti-codon, and T loops). Lineage: Bacteria; Pseudomonadati; Planctomycetota; Phycisphaerae; Tepidisphaerales; Tepidisphaeraceae. The record is from RNAcentral.